CAGGGUUUGUUUGGUGCUGAUGCUGUGCUGAUGUCCAGCAGGACUGGAGAGCCCAGCCCAAAGACCAGCCUCGAGACACACGGCACGACGGGCUGGCAGGUAAACUGGAGUCGCUGGAGGCUCGUCUGGUCAAUCUGAACAGUAUAGCGGUGAGGAUUCCUCAUGUUCAGUCUCGUGUGGGGUCAGGGAGCAGCUCCAGUCCGUGUACUCCAGCGCUGCAGAGAGCGGCCAAACCGCCGAGCAUGAGCGUGAGUCCCAGUCGAGAGCUUCAUCACAGCAGCUCCGUGACAGACCUCUCGUCUGCUCCUCUGUCUCCAGCGCUCGAUGAAGUCUUCUUCAGCCCUGACGAGCAGCCGCCC
This is a long non-coding RNA of Sinocyclocheilus rhinocerous, 359 nucleotides long. RefSeq lists it as uncharacterized. The record is from RefSeq and is a predicted model, not a curated record. Lineage: Eukaryota; Metazoa; Chordata; Actinopteri; Cypriniformes; Cyprinidae. The transcript is spliced from 3 exons.